GAUUGCAGGCAUGCUACACACAUACACAAAACCCUUUUUCCUUUACUCACUGAAGCUAAGCAGGGUUGAGGCUGGUCAGCACCUGGAUGGAAGAUCUGAUGAGAAAUGCUAAAGUCCCUGCUGUAA
RNAcentral lists this ribosomal RNA (126 nucleotides) under Sinocyclocheilus rhinocerous. The record is from RNAcentral. Lineage: Eukaryota; Metazoa; Chordata; Actinopteri; Cypriniformes; Cyprinidae.